RNAcentral lists this ribosomal RNA (251 nucleotides) under uncultured bacterium. RNAcentral's name for it is "partial 16S ribosomal RNA". It matches the Rfam family "Bacterial small subunit ribosomal RNA", at positions 524 to 774 of the family's 1533-position model. The record is from RNAcentral.
UACGUAGGGAGCAAGCGUUAUCCGGAUUUACUGGGUGUAAAGGGCGAGUAGGCGGGCUGGCAAGUUGGGAGUGAAAUCCCGGGGCUUAACCCCGGAACUGCUUUCAAAACUGCUGGUCUUGAGUGAUGGAGAGGCAGGCGGAAUUCCGUGUGUAGCGGUGAAAUGCGUAGAUAUACGGAGGAACACCAGUGGCGAAGGCGGCCUGCUGGACAUUAACUGACGCUGAGGAGCGAAAGCGUGGGGAGCAAACA